Molecule: ribosomal RNA, 484 nt
Filed under: uncultured bacterium
Lineage: Bacteria
Description: partial 16S ribosomal RNA
Rfam family: Bacterial small subunit ribosomal RNA
Source: RNAcentral
AUUGAACGCUGGCGGCAUGCCUAACACAUGCAAGUCGAGCGGCUGAAGGGGGCUUUGUACUGGAUUCAGCGGCGGACGGGGGAGUAUUGUCCAUGAGUCCGCCUGGUAGUGGGGGAGAACGUCCGGAAACGGGCGCUUAUACCCCACACGUCCUGUGGGAGAGAGUGGGGGGUCCCCUGACCGCACGCUAUCAGAUGAGCCUAGGUCGCAUUAGCUAGGUGGUGGGGUAAAGGCCUACCAAGGCGACGAUCCGUAACUGGUCUGAGAGGAAGAGCACUCACACUGGAACUGAGACACGGUCCAGACUCCUACGGGAGGCAGCAGUGGGGAAUAUUGGACAAUGGGCGAAAGCCUGAUCCAGCAAUGCCGCGUGUGUGAAGAAGGUCUUCGGAUUGUAAAGCACUUUAAGUUGGGAGGAAGGGCAGUACGUUAAUACGUUGCGGUUAUGACGUUACCAGCAGAAUAAGCACCGGCUAACUUCGUG